Podarcis lilfordi (Lilford's wall lizard) is the source of this 129-nucleotide non-coding RNA. The record is from the annotation of a GenBank genome assembly. NCBI's taxonomy places the organism in Eukaryota, Metazoa, Chordata, Lepidosauria, Squamata, Lacertidae.
GCUCACCUGAUAACUCUCUCUCUCUCUCUCUCUCUCUCUCUCUCUCUCUGUGUGUGUGUGUGUGUGUGUGUGUGUGUGAGAGAGAGAGAGAGAGAGAGAGAGAGAGAGAGAGAGAGAGAGACUGGAGGA